AAAAGAAGAAAAAACCCACAAAGCCCUCAGCUUUUAUACAUCCACGAGACGGUGGGAAGACAAUAGAUUUAGCCGUUAGUUUCUUUCCAUUGUCCAAUUUGAAUAGAGAGAGACUUCCGGUGAAAUUCCUAGUUAAUCCUCACUUGUGUCGGUAUGAUCUUUGCCCUCCAUUUUGCUCAAUCGGUGUACCUCUGUUGCAAAAAAUUGCCUCUCGAUUAAUUGUUUUCAAUGCUAGCGGUGAUUUCUAAUCUAAGCCGAGGUCGUGAGAAUCAGACGUGUUCGGGCACGAAAUCAUUUGUCUGCUCGAAUUAAAGAUUGAUGGUCCUCAGCUAUCCUGCAGUGAGAAGUACCUCAAAGAUUUCUCACGACAAGGCAGACCUACUACGAUCGUGGUUCUGCAAGGCCUCUGCGGGUCAUAUGAAUAUUCAGACUAUCCGCACCCUUCAAUGAGAACGGAUUCUGUAUGGACUAUUUUGAAACUUUCUUUGUGAUCCUACCAGAUCCCAUCGUCUUCACUUCCUUCAACCGAAAGUCCAUGGCUCUUCCUCUCUUGUUUUCCUCUUCUUUUUCCCAUCAUGUAGCAGCUGAAAUGGACAAUAGCAGUUGAAGCAAGGGAUGUCAGUAGAAAUUCAAGUAAUAAGCAAGAGUAGCAGCCUGCACAAUACAUAAGCCAUGUUUAGCUUUUCCUUGAAUAUCGGCCGCUGUCCAGAAUUUAUAUUUUGGGUGUGUAACCAAGUGGAGGGAAGGUAGAAACAUGCAUAAUUCGUGCAAUCUACUGCUUGAAGAGGUUGUUAAGAGAUGAAGUUAUCUCAAAGUUAUAAAAUUACAGGUUUGAUAUAUACCAUUUAUUGCUUUUAUCCAAUAGAUGUGUAUUUUUAUAAAAAUAAGAUACAUGUUGUAAAAAUAUUUGUAUUGUUUUUCGCAUUCUCUAUUACUACCAG
This is a long non-coding RNA of Juglans microcarpa x Juglans regia, 941 nucleotides long. RefSeq lists it as uncharacterized. The transcript has 6 exons. NCBI's taxonomy places the organism in Eukaryota, Viridiplantae, Streptophyta, Magnoliopsida, Fagales, Juglandaceae. The record is from RefSeq and is a predicted model, not a curated record.